RNAcentral lists this ribosomal RNA (253 nucleotides) under uncultured bacterium. RNAcentral describes it as "partial 16S ribosomal RNA". It matches the Rfam family "Bacterial small subunit ribosomal RNA", at positions 524 to 776 of the family's 1533-position model. The record is from RNAcentral.
UACGGGGGGGGCAAGCGUUGUUCGGAAUUACUGGGCGUAAAGGGCUCGUAGGUGGCCAACUAAGUCAUACGUGAAAUCCCUCAGCUUAACUGGGGAACUGCGCCUGAUACUGGCUGGCCUGAGUUUGGGAGAGGGACGCGGAAUUCCAGGUGUAGCGGUGAAAUGCGUAGAUAUCUGGAGGAACACCCGUGGCGAAAGCGGCUCUCUGGAACGGUACUGACGCUGAGACGCGAAAGCGUGGGGAGCGAACAGG